GAGUUUGAUCCUGGCUCAGGACGAACGCUGGCGGCGUGCCUAACACAUGCAAGUCGAACGAAGCUUUGAGGAGCUUGCUUUUUAAAGCUUAGUGGCGGACGGGUGAGUAACGCGUGAGCAACCUGCCUCUCAGAGGGGGGAUAACGUUUUGAAAAGAACGCUAAUACCGCAUAAUAUAUCGGAACCGCAUGAUUCUGAUAUCAAAGGAGCAAUCCGCUGAGAGAUGGGCUCGCGUCCGAUUAGUUAGUUGGUGAGGUAACGGCUCACCAAGACUACGAUCGGUAGCCGGACUGAGAGGUUGAUCGGCCACAUUGGGACUGAGACACGGCCCAGACUCCUACGGAGGCAGCAGUGGGGGAUAUUGCGCAAUGGGGGAAACCCUGACGCAGCAACGCCGCGUGAAGGAAGAAGGUCUUCGGAUUGUAAACUUCUUUUGUCAGGGACGAAGAAAGUGACGGUACUUAAUGAAUAAGCUCCGGCUAACUACGUGCCAGCCGCCGCGGUAAUAC
This 509-nucleotide ribosomal RNA is filed under the name uncultured bacterium. Its description in RNAcentral is "bacterial SSU rRNA". It matches the Rfam family "Bacterial small subunit ribosomal RNA", at positions 9 to 526 of the family's 1533-position model. The record is from RNAcentral.